This 298-nucleotide ribosomal RNA is filed under the name uncultured soil bacterium. RNAcentral's name for it is "partial 16S ribosomal RNA". It matches the Rfam family "Bacterial small subunit ribosomal RNA", at positions 26 to 324 of the family's 1533-position model. The record is from RNAcentral.
AGAUUGAACGCUGGCGGCAGGCCUAACACAUGCAAGUCGAGCGGCAGCACGGGUACUUGUACCUGGUGGCGAGCGGCGGACGGGUGAGUAAUGCCUAGGAAUCUGCCUGGUAGUGGGGGAUAACGCUCGGAAACGGACGCUAAUACCGCAUACGUCCUACGGGAGAAAGCAGGGGACCUUCGGGCCUUGCGCUAUCAGAUGAGCCUAGGUCGGAUUAGCUAGUUGGUGAGGUAAUGGCUCACCAAGGCGACGAUCCGUAACUGGUCUGAGAGGAUGAUCAGUCACACUGGAACUGAGA